This 595-nucleotide long non-coding RNA is filed under the name Citrus x clementina. RNAcentral's name for it is "Citrus clementina (C. clementina) long non-coding RNA (CCLE_LNC003515)". Lineage: Eukaryota; Viridiplantae; Streptophyta; Magnoliopsida; Sapindales; Rutaceae. The record is from RNAcentral.
AAUUCUUUACAUAAGGAUAAAAUUAUAAUUUAAAACUAUUUACUCUCAAUCCAAGACAAAGUAAACACAUAAAUUGGAUUCUGAUCUUCAUUCCAUACUUUCAUUCCAGUGCAAGUAAACAACCUACUCUCACUCCCACUCCACACUCCCAAUCCUAGGAUUCUCACUCCAAUUCAAAAAGUAAACGCUACCUUAGUUAAGUAGAUGCUGGCCUUAAACUUGUGGAAAUCACAAUUUAAUAUCAUCUCAGACAAAUAUAAUGUUUCCAUGUAUUACAACUGAAUAUUAUUAUUAAGGACAAAUUUAUAUAACAAUUCUAAAAAUAAAUAACUAAUACCCAUUUAACAAUGGUUAUUUGCUGUAAACCUUAAUUUCUUAUUUCUAAUUUUAUGAAUCUAUAUCUUGAUUUCAUGUGACAAGCGUUAAAAUAGUGACAAAAAUAAGAGCAUCUCUAAAAAAAUUCAUCUACUUUGACUAUUCAAAUAAAAGGACUACUUAGUUUAUAUAUAUGGCAAAUAAAAGAGUAAAAAUAUAAGCUCCUUUUCAAAAGACUCUUAAAAUUCUUAAUCGAAUUUUUCUCUUAUAAAAUUUAACU